Molecule: long non-coding RNA, 712 nt
Filed under: Chinchilla lanigera (long-tailed chinchilla)
Lineage: Eukaryota; Metazoa; Chordata; Mammalia; Rodentia; Chinchillidae
Description: lncRNA (ENSCLAG00000025960.1)
Source: RNAcentral
CAGCAACAUUUAAAAUAAACAGACACAAUGAGAACAAUGUCAACAGAACCCAGCGUUUUCUAGGUGUGUGUCAGGGACUGACCAGGCGCACUAAGCGGAAAGCAAGGACCACGUUUUCAGGACGAGGCUCUGUGCUGCUUCCAGAUUUGGAGCGCAGCUGGAAGAUGCCAUCUGCACCACAGGCAGUCCUGCAUGGGGGACAUUCGGCCGGCUGGUAUGCACAACAGGACGGCAGAUGUGGUUUCCGGGAAACCUGGGCCCAGAAUGCCCCCCGGCACGUCUCCUGGCAGCAGCGCACUUCCAGCGCCACCCUCAGAGCCGGGCGGCGACACCAGUCCGGCGGCCUCCGAGUCUGGGCCGGAGUUGGCCCACGGCACAAGUGGUCGCUGACCGGAGCCCACACCACGACUGUCCUCACCUGGGAUGCUUCUGAGCGUGGACAGGGCGUCAUGAAUGUGCGGGACUCGUGCUGAAAGGCUUGUCAAGGGGCAGGGCUGAUUUUACUUAUGAUUUGAUCAGGCGGCUGAGUGUGGGAGAUGCACCAGGCCGGGACGCUGCUGCUCUAGUUGAGCAGGGAAGGGGGAAAGGUUUAUAAAAAAUAAGGGGGCAGGGCCGGGGAUGUAGCUCAGUGGCCUAAGUGCCUGCCUGGCAAGUGCAAGGUCCUGAGUUCGAUUCCUGGUACCAAAAAAUAAAAUAAAAUAAAAUAAGGGGG